GCAGCAGCCACGGUAAUACGGAGGGUGCAAGCGUUAAUCGGAAUUACUGGGCGUAAAGCGCACGCAGGCGGUCUGACAAGUCAGAUGUGAAAUCCCCGGGCUUAACCUGGGAACUGCAUUUGAAACUGUCAGGCUGGAGUCUUGUAGAGGGGGGUGGAAUUCCAGGUGUAGCGGUGAAAUGCGUAGAGAUCUGGAGGAAUACCGGUGGCGAAGGCGGCCCCCUGGACAAAGACUGACGCUCAGGUGCGAAAGCGUGGGGAGCAAACAGGAUUAGAUACCCGCGUAGUCCCUGUCUCUUAUAC
Molecule: ribosomal RNA, 302 nt
Filed under: uncultured bacterium
Lineage: Bacteria
Description: partial 16S ribosomal RNA
Rfam family: Bacterial small subunit ribosomal RNA
Source: RNAcentral